Long non-coding RNA from Oncorhynchus masou masou (cherry salmon), 605 nucleotides. RefSeq lists it as uncharacterized. The transcript is spliced from 3 exons. The record is from RefSeq and is a predicted model, not a curated record. Lineage: Eukaryota; Metazoa; Chordata; Actinopteri; Salmoniformes; Salmonidae.
UCACCCCGAAACAGUUAGAUGAAAGGUUCAAAUAAUUCAACUGAACUUUUGGAUUGUCUUGAAAAUGUUCCAAACUCUCAGUUUUGCCUCACCACAGUAAUUAGGCACCUGAGUAGACUUUUAAUCUCAUCUACCCUUAUAUUUUAUUUCAUUUUUUUUUACUCUUCUACUUUUUCACUCAUUGUUUUACAGUCCUUACUGGCUGUCAGCAACUGCCUUGAUGUUCUUGUGCAGCUAUGACACACAACCUGCCGUUGACAGACACCAGUGACAGAUCUGUAGAGUUGGCUUGACUCAGAUAAGAUAAAGGCUAAGGUGAGAAAGUCAUCGAGGUUGAAUUAGCCAGCUGGCGGUUCGGCUUGCCAGCUCUGGAGUUGCUAGGCUUCUCUGUUUGUUUCGGUGCAGUUUUGGCAUCGGCUUGACGGUUUCACGUUGCUUUGGAUGGAUGUUUCACCACUUCAUCUGUUCAGUUCCUGUUGUGCUAAAUGGUCCGCACGUUAUUUGUCAGCGGACUACCUCUGGAUAUAAAGCCGCGGGAGCUGUAUCUCCUGUUCAGACCAUUUAAGGGUUAUGAGGGAUCAUUGAUAAAACUCACCUCAAAACAG